UACCGAGAUGGAAGCCGCCGCCAAACUCGGGACGACAGAAGUUUAGCUCGGGAAGGCAACAGUCAACACGUUCUAGAAUCAUUUCAGCUCCGGUUCAGUACACCAGUUGUUCAGCUUGCGACGUCGCCGGAAACAAGUAACGGUUCAUUUCGCCGCCGUUCAAUUUCGGAGUUCAAUUAGAAAUUGAGAUUCACCACCGUCCCCUUUUUUGCACUGUUCUACUACAGAUGACCACGGGUGGUGUUGGUGAUCAACCACCUCAGCGGGUGAAUGAGUACGAGCAACUCUGAGAGAGGCAAUUGCUCUUCCAUACCCGGAGAAUUGCUAGCAAUAGUGGUAUGUCCACCACUGUGCAGUCUAAGUUUGAGCUAUGAAUACAGGAAGCGAAGAAAAAGAAGGUCGAGAUCUCUUUUGCUUCUAUGGGUGGCACGAGCUCGUCACACCCGAGUAAUGCAAAGCUUGCCAAGAAGGUCACUACUAUGACUGAGGAGGUUCAUCAUCUGCAUGAAGUUCAACAGAGAAUUGAGUAGAGUAUAGCACGUAUGACGGAAAUUAUAAAAUAUCAUUGGGACAAGUGAAUGGUGACUCUUGUAAUCGAGGAGGAUGAGGAGGUGGAAGAUGAUGAGUAGAAGGAUUAUAUGUUAUUAUGUAUUUUUAUUUUAUGAAAUGUUUGAACUUAUAUUGACCAAGGUGUAUAUGUAAUUUUUUUAUAUUUAGAUUUGUGAUAGUGUCU
This is a long non-coding RNA of Phalaenopsis equestris, 733 nucleotides long. RefSeq lists it as uncharacterized. The record is from RefSeq and is a predicted model, not a curated record. Lineage: Eukaryota; Viridiplantae; Streptophyta; Magnoliopsida; Asparagales; Orchidaceae. The transcript is spliced from 3 exons.